Molecule: long non-coding RNA, 2454 nt
Filed under: Sus scrofa (pig)
Lineage: Eukaryota; Metazoa; Chordata; Mammalia; Artiodactyla; Suidae
Description: lncRNA (ENSSSCG00000060580.1)
Source: RNAcentral
GGUGCUUUACAAGGAUUCACCGGUGUGAUUUUCCCAGCCAGCCUAUGAAGUAGCUGCCAUUACAUCUUAAAUUUACAGAUGAUGAAACUGAGCCCCAGAGAAGUUAAACAACCUGCGCCAGGUGACAGAGCUAAUAAAUGGCUGACUCGGAUCCUUGACCAAGACUUAGCAAGUGGCAAGUGUUCAAUGUGGCUUUGACAGCCUCAUCAAUACCGGGCUUCGGUCAGCCACGAGAAAUCCAGCAGAGUUGCCGAGCAAGGUGAACACUGUCUUUGAUGCAGAAAAUACCUGGAAAUUCCUAGAGAAGGCUGUCUUUUUCCUCACCAGUAAAUCAAGGCAGAAGUGGACUAGAAGAAUUCUAUGAAGGAAGACACAUCCUGCUAAAGCCAGAGGUGCUUGCUGUCCAUCCCAACCUCAUUUGGAAUAUUUCUGUGGCUCAGAUUCAGUGAACUCCAAACACGUGGACCAGUGCUCCUGUGGCCAUCACACUACGUCAAGGGUGAAGUCUGUUAAAACAAAUGAAGGGAUUGUUACCCAGCAUCUUGUCGAGCAAGUAUGAUAAUCGGAAAAAAGAGGAGGUUGUUGAAGAAGUGUUCAGAAGAGAGUGGGACUUUGAAAAUGGAAGAUGGAUAAACUGCAAGAUGAUUCAUUACCAGCUAGAAAAAUAACCAACAUCCAGGACAGCAAUUCAGAGAGGAAGUUACGGAAAGAAUGGGCAUAAGAAGUUUGGAGUCACUGUGAUUAAAGGGGUCUUCCUGAGUGACAAGAGACCUUGUGCUCCAGACCGAAUGUUUUGCAGAGCCCUUGAUUGCUCCAGUUUUCUCAGACUCUGCUGAAGAAGUUCUGGCAUCUCUACCUCAUUUUACAGGCAAAGAAGACUCUUAAGCAGUGAGACACAGGGACUUGAAGAGGAAGUUACCAAUAUGCAUGGAAAUUGUCCCCUAAAGUGACCUCCCAGAAAAAAGGCACAGGAAUGGGAUACUGACGGUGUCUGCCACAGGUACAAGAUUUCUUUUUAUCUUAUUUAAAGCAUUUGUGAAGAUCUUUAUAAGUACAGCCAGAAUGCUUUCCAGAUAAGGUAAGCAAAACAAAGAUUUCUGUCACCAGAAUGAGUGUGAUCAACUCCCCACACUCACCAGGACAGAAUCUUAUCUUUUCUUUAUUUCACUACACUAAUAGACAAGAUAAUUUUAUUUGUCUUUUUACUGCCUGUCUUUGGUUCACAGUGAGGUCAUACUCAUUUAAAAAUAUUUGUUCACCAUUCAUUUCUUGCCUGUGAUUUCAUAUCUGUUGCCCAUUCUUCCAUUAGAUUCUUAGUAUUUCCCUUAUUGAUUUGAAUUAUCUCUUUUUACAUUAAGGAUAUAUUGGUCUGUAUUUUGUAGUAGCUGGUAUUUGGGGGGGGGCUGUGCCCACAACAAGUGGAAGUUCCCAGGCCAGGAAUGAACCCAUGCCACGGAUUGAACCCAUGCCACAGCAGUGACAAUAAGAAAUCCUUAAGCCUCUGAACCACCAGGAAACUCCUGGUAGGUAGUAUUUUAAAUUGUUUAUUCUUUUUUUUUUUUUUUUUUUUUCCUUUUUGCCAUUUCUUGGGCCACUCCCACGGCAUAUGGAGGCUCCCAUGAUAGGGGUCCAAUCGGAGCUGUAGCCACCAGCCUAUACCAGAGCCACAGCAACGCUGGAUCCGAGCUGAGUCUGCGAUCUACACCACAGCUCACGGCAACGCCAGAUCCUUAACCCACUGAGCAAGGGCAGGGACCGAACCCGCAACCUCAUGGUUCCUCGUCGGAUUCAUUAACCACUGUGCCACAACAGAAACUCCUUAAAUUGUUUAUUCUUUAAUGUGCAGAAUUACUUUUUAUUGCUGCAUAGUCAUUUGUAUUCAUCAUUGCCUUUAUGGUUUCUUCCAUAAAUCAUUUCUUUUUUACAUGUUUUACUUUCACAUGUAAAAAAGAGUAGCUAUCAAAUAGUUUUCUAAAAUGCUUAUGUUUUGGCUUUCAUAUUGAAUUUUUUUCAUUUUGGUACACAGUAUGAAGAAUGGCUCAAUUGAUUUUUUUAAAUCAGUUUCUUUAACACUAAUAAUUAGUGCAUUUUUUUAAAAUUGGGAAACGACAGUAAUGAGGAUGCAUGCUACAGAAGCAAAGGUUACACUAACUGCUUCUGCACAUGAAGAAAAAUGCAGAGCAAAGAGAAAAUGGCAGACUUCCAAGGUGGUAAAUAAGAAUCAAAGGAACUAAUUUCUCUUGUUUCCUCUAUGUAGGCUUGAAACAAUGGCAAAAAGAACUAAUAAAGUUGAAUACAAGUAGCCAGAAAUGAUUUUUGAUGUCCUGGGCCUAUCUAGAUAGUUCUGGGUCUCUUAACCAAGAUUUAAAGUUACUUAGAAAAAGUUGUUUUUGGUCAAAGUUCUUUGAUAAAACAAGAAUUAGAUUAGCAUACAUUAGAAAAGCUAACUGCAAG